This 482-nucleotide ribosomal RNA is filed under the name uncultured bacterium. RNAcentral's name for it is "partial 16S ribosomal RNA". It matches the Rfam family "Bacterial small subunit ribosomal RNA", at positions 30 to 507 of the family's 1533-position model. The record is from RNAcentral.
AUUGAACGCUGGCGGCAUGCCUUACACAUGCAAGUCGAACGGUAACAGGUCUUCGGAUGCUGACGAGUGGCGAACGGGUGAGUAAUACAUCGGAACGUGCCCGAUCGUGGGGGAUAACGAAGCGAAAGCUUUGCUAAUACCGCAUACGAUCUACGGAUGAAAGCAGGGGACCGCAAGGCCUUGCGCGAACGGUGCGGCCGAUGGCAGAUUAGGUAGUUGGUGGGAUAAAAGCUUACCAAGCCGACGAUCUGUAGCUGGUCUGAGAGGACGACCAGCCACACUGGGACUGAGACACGGCCCAGACUCCUACGGGAGGCAGCAGUGGGGAAUUUUGGACAAUGGGCGAAAGCCUGAUCCAGUCAUGCCGCGUGCAGGAUGAAGGCCUUCGGGUUGUAAACUGCUUUUGUACGGAACGAAAAGACUCUGGUUAAUACCUGGGGUCCAUGACGGUACCGUAAGAAUAAGCACCGGCUAACUACGUG